Long non-coding RNA from Astatotilapia calliptera (eastern happy), 3869 nucleotides. Lineage: Eukaryota; Metazoa; Chordata; Actinopteri; Cichliformes; Cichlidae. The record is from Ensembl.
UUUUUUUUUAUAAAUUUGACAAAAGGGACACGAACACUGGGAGAACGAGGUGAUUUUAUUUUUGAUCUGUAGUUGAUGAUUUGAUUUGUAAAUAUGAUUGCUUGAGGGGGUUACUGUACUGGGAAACUCUGAGCAGCCACGCGAGUUUAAGCUCAAAGGGGUUUGAAGUGUUUGAUCACAGCAAGAUGCCAGUUAUGUUUUCUUCAUCUGAAAUACUAGAAGAGACCGUCUCUGAGGAAAGUUCAGCUCUGUAAAGUCUACUUUGUUCAUCAGAGCGUCAAGUCCGAUGGGUUAUUUUGUGACGCGUCCAUUGAGUUCGUGAUUUUUCUGAGGUCCAGACAUGACAUCAGGUGUCUGAACAGUAGUCAACAGAAUUCAAAAGAAGCAUCAGAAGUCCCUGAUUUUUUUUUUGCUGUUUUUUAAGGUGAAAACCUUAAAAAAACUUUCCCGCUUUGUGUUCCUGAAACCAACCCUCUGAUAUGAAUAAGGUCAUUUUCCGAGUAAGUCAUUUUGCCCAUUUUCUCAGUUAUCUUCUGCUCUGAAAAGAGAAAAGACAAUCGACAGACAGAAAGGAAAUGACGCUACUGCUUCUCAGACAGAAUUACAGCAUGUUCCGAGGGUUUAUUUGACAGAACCCAUCAUCACAGUUAUUGUUGAGAUGAAAGCCUAAUUCUCAGAGGCCUACUGGAACAAAAGUAAUUCAGACAACUCAGGAAGCACAGAGCUGGAAAAGCAGCUAGUUGGGCAGCCACAAUGACUCUGAGGUGGCUUGAAUAACUUUAACCUCUAAACCUUCUUGGCUGCUAUCAGAUCAUAAAACUUGAGAUGAAAAAUACCCCAAACUUUUUGAUAGUCUAGAUGAUUACUUAAUAUAGCUACUAAAAGUUAGGUAAUAGUUUCUCCUAAUAGUUGUGUAGGAUUAUUUCUACCUUGAAUUUUAGCAUUACAUAGUAAGGAUAUUCUACUUAGCAACGGAUACGGCGCUCCUUGGCGUCAAAUUGAAGUUUUGUCUAUAAAAUGUCAAUAAAUAUGAGAAAUACCCACAAGAGCUUCUCAAAAACCAAAGUAGCUCCUUUUUUCCUUUCCAGAUAUGCUGGAUAUUUGGCCUGCCCCGUCUCUUAAGUAAUCAGGAACAACCAAUCGCAAGGCCGCACUCGGUAGCGUUUAAACAAUAAUCACAGAUCUUUUAGAUUAUUGCACGAACAAAUGCCCAGGAAAUAAACCAUUGUUUCUGCAUUCAUUCAUAAAGCACCACGAAGGUAGAAGGUCACCAUUGUCUGUGAUUAUUGUGACAUCUGUGAAUCUAGUACCAAUUGUUGCUGAUAGUACCACCCUACUGAACACACACACAGCGUAGUGUGUUUCUUUUUUCUUUUUAAAAAAAAGUAAUUUCAUUUCAGUUUAUUUAACCUACUAUUCAGUCCCAGGAAUCGGAGUUGAACUUGUUCCCUUAAAACUCAGUCCUGCUUGGAAUGCCUUUUGAUAAACAGUGAGACAAUAGCUGGAAGUCCUCUCAACGCCUUCCUGUUGGGGUUUAAAUAUAUAUAUAUAUAUACACUUAGCCAGUUCCUUCUCCUCAGUCUUAGCUUUGCUCUCCUUGUUUGCCUCACCAUAUCUCCUCGGCGCUGUCUUUUUCUCCGUCGUCUAAUCAGUGAGACCAAACAGUGGACUCAACUUCCUGUCCAUCUGGGAGGUUGUGCCCGCCUCUUCCUGUCUGUGUUAUCUUUCUCCUGGGCCAACACAUUGUGCUCACUUCCUGCAAGUCCAGCCUGAGAAAUGGGCUUGAAGAGGAAGAGGGAGCGAGGCAAGGAGCCGCAUGGGACGAGGUUGGGGGUUAAGAAGAAAGAAAGAUGAAAAGAACAAUGCAGAGCAAUGAUUAGUUUUCCAGCUGAACAGAAACACCUCAGAGCAAAGAUGUGUUUUUUUUUGACCUGUACAAUUUGCCAUCCUCAUGAAAGAAGGCUGAUCCCACCAGUAAAUAUUACGUUUAUUUAAAAAAAACAAAAACAAACAAACACAGUCUCAGUUUUGUGGCUUCAAAAUGGCAGGAAUGGAAUCUUAAGUACUCUUACCUUCAGUUUAUUUCUCCUCAUUGUUUUUAGGCAUUGCACUCAUGAUCUUGGUCAAAAGCAACCCACUGUUUUGUAAGUGUAAAAAAACCUUCAAAUAUCUCUUAAAAAUUCUGGCACAACAAGCACCACUGCUAAAAAAAAAAAAACCAUUUCUAGAAUCUAAGAAUCUUAGCUAGUUUUAUAAUCCAUGUCCUUGCUCGGUGAACAAACAAUGGCUCAUUUUUCUGUCUGACAUCUUUGUUUGAGUCAAAGAAUGGAAACAAACUUUGUAAACUUUGGUUCAAUUUUGCUUCAUUGUGCAGUGAAAGAAAAACUUUUUGUCUUGUUAUUUCAAGCUAUUUCGUGGCUCUAAAAGUAACAGUAAUCUUUUUUAUGUGUGUGUGCGUGUGUGUAUGUUCACUAUUAUUGUAAUCAUGGCUGUUAUUUAAAAGGUGUUCCCAUGAAAAAGAAAAACUUCAUUGUUAAAAACCAGCAGGCUGUAGCAGAGACAGGUGCUCCAUUAUCUACUUUCCUAAAAGCAACAAGUGCUGGCUGUACUUAGGUGAGAAAAGCUGGCACAUUAUUCGAGGCAGAUGGACAUUCGCUAGCAAUUUUGGCCAGCAGUAUUUUCAACUUGUUAAGCUCGUUCCAAAACGAUAUAAAAUGUAGCACAUACAUUUUUAUGACAAAAAUCCAUUAAUAGAAUACAUCAAUCAUUAAACACUUCCAAAACAUGGACCAUAUAGUCAGACAUGGCGUAAUAUUUUCCAGAGCGUGUCAUAUUUCUUUUUUCUUUUUUCUGCCAGGACCAAGACUUGGACAUAUUGGUUUAGACUAACAUGUUUCUUCCAAUCCAUCAUGCCCAGCAUGCUUUCAUUUUUAGGAAUUUUCUUGAGCUCUUCACCCGCUUCUCCACACUUAUUCAUCAGAUUUUGCAACUUCCAACAUUUUCCAAGUAUUACAAUAACACGCUACGGGACAAUGACAGCCAUACGAGUACCAUAAUUAAUUUGAUAUGUUGGUUAUCAGUGGUUGUGGGAGGACAUUUACCUCCCCUGCUGAAGGAGUCACAUUGGAAGCAGUGAAAAUUAAACCUCUCAGGGUGGGAUCCCAACACAAAAAAGUUCUUCACAUGAACGUGAAGAAACAAAAAUAUGUAGUGUGGUUUAAAAGACAACAUUUAAGUGUUUUUCUUCUGUUUCUGUCUAAUGUUUCAACAAGGGAUUUUAUUUUGAAAUGUAUAUAGAAAAAAUGUGCCUAAUAGGGAUCUUUCUCUGGCCUCACCUUGUUUAUUUUUUUCUUAUUGUUGCUAUUAUUUUUGCCUAAAUAACUGUAUUUAAAGGAUUAUAAACUUGACACUCUCUUUUUUUAAUUGCUGUAUAAAGGAAAACUAGAUUCAGUUUCAGCACAUGAAAGAAAAUAGUGUUUGAUGCAUGAAUGAGUCCUCGAGUGAAUAUGUAACUUUCUGCUUGUGUGUCCACUUUUGUGUGUGUGUGUGUGCGUGUGUGUGUGUGCAAGGGUGCUUGUGAUCGUACCAUGACUGUACCCAUGUAGAUAUACACACAAAUGAGUAUCAGACCAGUUAAAAAAAACAAAAAAGGGAAAGAAACCACAUUUCUCUUGUGUGAAAACAUUAAGGUCUGCAAGGGAGCGACAUGUGCCUUUACUCUUUAAAAAAAAAACAUGUAAAGAAAAAGAAAAAUGCUUUUUUUUGAUGGUGAACACGAUGUUUUCUAUAGUGUUUUAUGGUGUACAGCAACUACUUUUUAUUACAUGAAUUUUUGUAAGUGUAGAAGAAUAAAAAUCCACUCAAAUAUG